Molecule: transfer RNA, 72 nt
Filed under: marine sediment metagenome
Rfam family: tRNA
About the family: Transfer RNA (tRNA) molecules are approximately 80 nucleotides in length. Their secondary structure includes four short double-helical elements and three loops (D, anti-codon, and T loops).
Source: RNAcentral
GCCGGGGUAGCCGAGUGGUAAGGCGGCUGGCUGCAGACCAGCAGAUCCCGGGUUCAAAUCCCGGCCCCGGCU